RNAcentral lists this ribosomal RNA (404 nucleotides) under uncultured prokaryote. Its description in RNAcentral is "bacterial SSU rRNA". It matches the Rfam family "Bacterial small subunit ribosomal RNA", at positions 355 to 776 of the family's 1533-position model. RNAcentral also lists the same sequence under 1 other name. The record is from RNAcentral.
UGGGGAAUAUUGGACAAUGGGCGAAAGCCUGAUCCAGCAAUGCCGCGUGAGUGAUGAAGGCCUUAGGGUUGUAAAGCUCUUUUACCAGGGAUGAUAAUGACAGUACCUGGAGAAUAAGCUCCGGCUAACUCCGUGCCAGCAGCCGCGGUAAUACGGAGGGAGCUAGCGUUGUUCGGAAUUACUGGGCGUAAAGCGCGCGUAGGCGGUUUUUUAAGUCAGAGGUGAAAGCCUGGAGCUCAACUCCAGAACUGCCUUUGAAACUGGAAAACUUGAAUCUUGGAGAGGUCAGUGGAAUUCCGAGUGUAGAGGUGAAAUUCGUAGAUAUUCGGAAGAACACCAGUGGCGAAGGCGACUGACUGGACAAGCAUUGACGCUGAGGUGCGAAAGCGUGGGGAGCAAACAGG